AGGACGAACGCUGGCGGCGUGCCUAACACAUGCAAGUCGAACGCGCUCCAUUCGGUAGCAAUACUGAUGAAGAGCGAGUGGCGAACGGGUGAGUAGCACGUGAGCAACCUGCCCCGAAGACUGGGACAACACCGGGAAACCGGUGCUAAUACCGGAUAUCCCUAUCGGACCGCAUGAUCUGAUAAGGAAAUGGAUUCCGCUUCGGGAGGGGCUCGCGGCCUAUCAGCUAGUUGGUGAGGUAAUAGCUCACCAAGGCAUCGACGGGUAGCUGGUCUGAGAGGGCGAUCAGCCACACUGGGACUGAGACACGGCCCAGACUCCUACGGGAGGCAGCAGUGGGGAAUCUUGCGCAAUGGGCGAAAGCCUGACGCAGCAACGCCGCGUGGAGGACGAAGGCUUUCUGAGUUGUAAACUCCUUUCAGCAGGGACGAUAGUGACGGUACCUGCAGAAGAAGCACCGGCCAACUACGUGCCAGCAGCCGCGGUGAUACGUAGGGUGCAAGCGUUGUCCGGAUUUAUUGGGCGUAAAGAGCUCGUAGGCGGUUUGAUUAGUCGGGUGUGAAACCUCCAGGCUCAACCUGGAGCCGCCACUCGAUACUGUCAUGACUAGAAUUCGGUAGGGGACCACGGAAUUCCUGGUGUAGCGGUGAAAUGCGCAGAUAUCAGGAGGAACACCAGCAGCGAAGGCGGUGGUCUGGGCCGACAUUGACGCUGAGGAGCGAAAGCGUGGGGAGCGAACAGGAUUAGAUACCCUGGUAGUCCACGCCGUAAACGUUGGGCACUAGGUGUGGGGACUAUUCAACGGUUUCCGUGCCGCAGCUAACGCAUUAAGUGCCCCGCCUGGGGAGUACGGCCGCAAGGCUAAA
RNAcentral lists this ribosomal RNA (866 nucleotides) under uncultured bacterium. RNAcentral describes it as "bacterial SSU rRNA". It matches the Rfam family "Bacterial small subunit ribosomal RNA", at positions 26 to 898 of the family's 1533-position model. The record is from RNAcentral.